GUGAACGCUGGCGGCAGGCCUAACACAUGCAAGUCGAACGGCAGCACAGGGGUAGCAAUACCCUGGGUGGCGAGUGGCGGACGGGUGAGGAAUACGUCGGAAUCUGCCUAUUUGUGGGGGAUAACGUAGGGAAACUUACGCUAAUACCGCAUACGCUCUACGGGGGGAAAGCGGAGGACCUUCGGGCUUCGCGCAGAUAGAUGAGCCGACGUCGGAUUAGCUAGUUGGCGGGGUAAAGGCCCACCAAGGCGACGAUCCGUAGCUGGUCUGAGAGGAUGAUCAGCCACACUGGAACUGAGACACGGUCCAGACUCCUACGGGAGGCAGCAGUGGGGAAUAUUGGACAAUGGGCGCAAGCCUGAUCCAGCCAUGCCGCGUGUGUGAAGAAGGCCUCGGUUGGUAAG
Molecule: ribosomal RNA, 404 nt
Filed under: uncultured bacterium
Lineage: Bacteria
Description: bacterial SSU rRNA
Rfam family: Bacterial small subunit ribosomal RNA
Source: RNAcentral